Molecule: non-coding RNA, 21 nt
Filed under: Arabidopsis thaliana (thale cress)
Lineage: Eukaryota; Viridiplantae; Streptophyta; Magnoliopsida; Brassicales; Brassicaceae
Source: RNAcentral
CUUAACGAGAUUUGAUGCAUG